UAUAUUUUUAGCACUGGAACACGAUGCUCAUACACUGUGUUGUUAUCUUUCUUUUUUCGCCUGCUCCUUCCUCCAACUUGUGUCUUUGAGUAUUUCAGUCACAUGCUCAAACGUUCUUAAAUGCUCUCGCCAUCGGUUUACGGAUGCGUUGAAAACGGACAUGUGAUGACCAAAUUUAACAAUAUGCGGACAAUGGAUCGACUUCUUGAAGCCUGUGGACGUGAUACACCUUCUCCAUCACCAUCAAGAGGUCAACAUUUUCGAAGACACUUGCGUACGGCUGCAGUGUCCGGCGCAAUGCUGAAUGCGACCUGUUAUCUGUUGGAUCUACUCUGUGAGCCCGAACCCCAGUGCAAUGGCACUGUUCGACUAUAGCGCUGGACGUCGUCUACUUUUUGCUAGAGGGAAAGGUCAUCAUCCGUCCAUGAACUUCGGGCUGCUCACAGCUAUAUUGCCUUGGCAAGUUCUUUGAGCACUCAAUACUGGACUUGGGCUGCGAAAGCUAAUGACAAUUUGGGGAGCUUGAUAUUGCAAUGGCUAUGACGUGAAGGCUCAAUAUGACGAACAGCUCGACUAUUCACCAUUGUCAACGCUUAUGAUAGCUAAAUAUCAUUGUGCUUGGUGUACAUUCACGUCUCGUUUCCUUGCUCCAUUUGUACCUCACCGGUCGUCCGUCCCCACAGGCCUCGGCUGCAGCACAAGCCACAUUCAUCGGCCCAAUCAUCAGUUAUUCAUCCUGCAAGUUUUAAGUCACUUCGUUGUGACCCGGACAUCGUCAUCUUUCAACGAGUUCAAAUGAUUAUUUCAUUCAUCAUCGUCGAUCAGACUCAUCAUGUAAAGACACUUCCAUAAUGCUAGCCGCCAUCUACGUUUGUGCAGGAAGCAAAUAUCAGGUUGUUAUUAGCUGCGGGCUACUCAGUACCGACUGAACUACUGGCAGUAGUGUGCGAGCACCUAAUACUUGUAUUGUGAUACCAAAGCUAAAACGGAUGAAAGCUUAGCGCAUAGGGCCCUACCGCUUUCCACACACACACAAACAAAACUUGACUUUGGGCAUUAGCACCAUGGCAGGAUAAACAGGCAGUUUCGCUGUUUUUCACUGCUUUCAUUGGGAGGUGUUACUGCUCAUUCCCGUUCUAUGUGAUGUUAGAACAGCCCUUCACCAUAGUCCUGUUUUCUCCUUUGCCGUUUUCCAUAGACAUCAGAUGCGACAUGCACUCCAACGAUCGGUCAGGCGCAUCACCGUCAAUCCGGUCGCCUGUUAAGCAGUUCGUAAUCACCGUCAGUCUUCGACAUCUGUCAACACACUUAUCCACAUUAUCGCCUUACUUUUGAUCUUAUCAAUAUGCAAGAAUGAGUGCAAAAUGCAUUCCAAUAUUGCAUCAGUUGAUGUUGUAUCGCAAUGACACCGCGUCCUCACCUCACAUCUGUUGUGCAUACUUGAUCACGAAUGCCAGUUAUACGCAGAUUCACAUGGUGAAGUUUUACUCCGUUGACGUUUUCUUUCCAUUCUUGUAGUCGAUCAAGAGGGAUUACAGUUGCACAUGCGGCCUUACACAUGCGUUCUUACAUGUUAGCUGAUUGAUAUGUUGGACACACUGGUUCCUGUGACUCCAAGUAGUUCUGCAUUGGUAUUGCUUCACUUUAUAUGUUCUACCCAAAGAUCGUUUCUAGUUUUGUCUUAGCUUGCAGCUGUAUGCCAUGAACAUACAGGGUACUGCGCAUCUUUAUCGUGACAUUCCUGUAGUUUCGUCACUUUCGCGGAUGAUUAGGACCAUGAGCUCAGUUGCAGAUGCGUCCAGCAGCCACCGACAUUUCUACACUUUAAAUUCCUAGUCUCGGAUCUUAUCCACAUGCCAACAUGAUUUGAACAUUUCACACGUUUAGUGAUGAAAUGAGCAGGUAUCAUCUACUACAUUAUAUUUUCAUGUAAAGCACACUCCAGUCUGUGAAAAAAGAAAACCAUUAGGAGCAACAAUCAUGCCUUAGACAGUAUAGUUGCCAUAGAUAUUACGUUGUGCAGCGGGCAGGCCGGUGCACGAAAUGGCGAGUGUGAAUGCAGGAAUGCGUGUGAAAAACUGCCUAGGUGUGGAGUGGCUGGUUUGUCUUCCGUUACAUCGUAACGGGCUCUUGACGUAGUCUUUUUUUAGUAACACCAAUCAUCUUUCGAACUUGAAUUAACGUAAUUGAAAGAUGGCUAUCACAUUUGGAGCCAACUUUUUUGCUAACUGCGUCAAGGGCGGGCAGCGCGGUGCGUGGAUGCCUUUUGGUAAAGCUCACGUCCUAAUAUACUAUCCAGCCCUUACCAAGCGUGCAUCCAUGUUUCCUCCAUCCGGCUCCUCGUGCCGCUGCCUGGAAUAUUAGCCUACGGCUAAUAUACCAAGAGAUGGAAAACUUUUCGUUGGUAUGGAAUAUGGAUGCCUCGUGGUUCAACUGGUGAUGUUCAAAACAACUGUACCGUGUGUCAGGUAGGUCUUACUCACUUUCCGCUUCAUUUUUUUCUCGGCCGCGUAGGAAAUAUGAUUUGACGGUAAUCGUGGCGCUUUUGUUUCAGUGGCUGAAUGACAGCGACAUCUAUAACUCAGGCUGCACUCAGAGCCCGAGUCUGAGUUUGGCUGAAAAAAUCGCCCAUAAAAAAUUCGCCCAUCGCCCGCCCGCCGCGAAACGGGUGAUUUUGUUUUUGCGUCGUUUUCGGUAAAAGGUUUAUUUUCGGUUGGCGGCGGCCGGGCGCAUUUUUGCGGUUUUUGCGUUUGACGGCGGGCGGCCGUUUUUUGCGGCGUUUUGCGGUUGGCGGCGUAGAGUGCA
This 2805-nucleotide long non-coding RNA is filed under the name Amphibalanus amphitrite. RNAcentral describes it as "uncharacterized LOC122373112". Lineage: Eukaryota; Metazoa; Arthropoda; Thecostraca; Balanomorpha; Balanidae. The record is from RNAcentral.